Molecule: unclassified non-coding RNA, 232 nt
Filed under: uncultured fungus
Lineage: Eukaryota; Fungi
Description: sequence contains ITS1, 5.8S rRNA gene
Rfam family: 5.8S ribosomal RNA (bases 184-232)
Source: RNAcentral
UUUCCGUAGGUGAACCUGCGGAAGGAUGAUUAACGAGAUGUUGGCUUCGGCUGACAACUUCACACCAUGAUUUUGAAUCUCUGCUUCGGCGGGACACCGAAAGGUCGUCGACGUCUGUGGGCGAGCGCCCGCCGAAAUUAUACUCCUUUUUAUCUAUUGUCAGUUACAAAACAAAUAAAUAAAAACUUUCAACAACGGAUCUCUUGGUUCUGGCAUCGAUGAAGAACGCAGC